RNAcentral lists this long non-coding RNA (239 nucleotides) under Elaeis guineensis (African oil palm). RNAcentral's name for it is "long non-coding RNA (EGUI_LNC007411)". Lineage: Eukaryota; Viridiplantae; Streptophyta; Magnoliopsida; Arecales; Arecaceae. The record is from RNAcentral.
GAAGCUCCUUCGCUGUCACCAUCUCCGGGUGGAGGAGAGAUUUAUGGGAAGGAAAGCAACUGAGGCCGGUGGCAGAGGUGGGGGGGAGGGGGGAGAGUUUUGCUGUUGGAGAAUGGGCUGCUGCGGACGAUAAAAAGGCCGAUGUCGGUGGCGAUUAGGAGGAAGGCGAUGGCAGAGACCGAUGGGAGGUGGCGGCGAGGAGAGAUCUGUGGGAAGAACAGUACCUGAAGAGAGAUUGG